RNAcentral lists this non-coding RNA (79 nucleotides) under Solanum pimpinellifolium. The record is from RNAcentral. Lineage: Eukaryota; Viridiplantae; Streptophyta; Magnoliopsida; Solanales; Solanaceae.
AGGAGCCGUGUGAGAUGAAUGACUCAUGCACGGUUUUGAUUGAGAGAAAGAUGUGAGGGAUCCUCUUUUUGACUCUGAC